AUAUGAUUUGGAUAACUUACUUAACUGCUCUGUGCCUCAGUUUCCUCAUCUAUCUAUAAAUUGGGGUUACCAAUAGUACCUACCAGAUAUGGUUGUUGUGAGGAUUAAAUGAGUUAUGAUAAAUAAAGUGUUGACAACAGUGCCUGGCACAGAAGGAGCAACAUGUAAAUGUAAAUUAUUAUUGGCAAGUGCCCAGAAAGAUUGAUGAGAACCACUGUGGAACUACAUGGAAGAGAGGGAGUUUUUGAAGUCUUUUACAAGUGGAAACUUUUGAAAUGAAAGAAUAGGUAGGUUUUUGGUAAGUAAAGAUGGAGGUAAAUGGUGGAGGGAAAGUCAUUAGAGAAUACAGAGUUAGCCAGAUAAUGCAGUGGAGGCCAAGUCAGGACAGGAGGCUGUUCCUGGAGAAGGGAAUGGAAUGUCUGUGAAGGUCCUGGGAAAGAGAGAAUUUGUUAUGUGCUCCUCAAAUAUGGGCCAUUCAUUCCAACAUUUUCUCUAAAAAAUAUUCCAUAUAUCCUGGGUCUUGGUUCGAUUUCUUGCUACCUAUUCUCAUAGGACCCAGUACUUCUCCCAUCGUAGAAGUGCUGUUGCACUUGCUCACUCACUGUUGCAUUCCCCUCUGCAAGGACACUAUUGGAAUGAGCAAUCUUUUGUUGUUGUUGUUGUUGUUUUGCCAUGCCCACAGCACAUGGGAAUUCCUGGGCCAGAGAUGAAAUCUGCAGCACAGCAGCAACCCAGGCCACUGCAGUGCCAAUGUUGGAUCCUUAACCUACUGUGCCACAGGAGAAGUCCUGGAAAGAGCAGUCUUAGUCUCUGUGUUAUACCUCAGUCUCUGUGUUAUAUUUCAAGUGCCUAACUCACUGACUGGCAUGUGAACAUUCCAUAAAUAUUUGUUGAAUGAAUAGAUGAAUGAUAAUAUGAAGCUAAGAAUGGACAUAGGCUCUCAAAUAUGAAGUUUCAUUUGGUAUUCAGUACCAGGUUUGGGGAAAGGUGAUAGAAGAAAGAAAAAGGGAAGGCUUUGCAUCUCUGGCAAUUAUUUUCAUUUUGUAUUUCUAUCUACAAUAUGAAGGUUGGACUUGAUGAAGGGUCCUAUCUUGUUUUCAAAUAUGAUAUUUCAGUUAAUAAAAAUGAAUGGUAAAAUAAGAUAUUUUGGUUCAAAGUAACAAAACUCAACUUUAUGCUUUCUAAAACCCAAAGACAUUUGUUAUAUAAAUACAGAAAUGAAUAAUAGAAUUGAAGGAUGGAACUGACCCUCUGAAAUGGACUAAAAUUUAAAAAAAAGUAAGAAUACAUUUUCAUACCAUCCCAGGUGAAAUUUCAUUGCUUUUAGUUACAAAAUCCCAGGCGAGAAAAUCUGACUGGCUCCCUUGGUUUGGGUGUAGACUUAGUUUGGAUUCUCAAAGAAGCAGAUCUUGAAAUAAGAGUUUCAGUGCAAACGUAUUACAUGGGGGGGCAUGUAAGAAAGGAACAUGGGCAAGUGGAACGGGGAAGAUAAGGCAUCUAAUAUAGGAUGUUACUAAGCUGGCUCUGACUAAGGGUGACUGGAGGGCAAUCCACUGGGAAAUGGAAAAAUGCCCAGCAGAACAUACACUCAGAGUUAUUCCAUCCAAGCUGGCAAAGGACUGACUACACAUCAACUCCCAUCAUCAUUGGUUGGAGGUGUUAUUAGGGGGUGAUAAUCCUACAGUACUUCUGGCUUGCUCUGUCCUUGGAGAGAACGGUCUUCUUCGGCUUUGGAGAGAGACUUGAGGCAAAAUGUGCUAAGUCUGACACUUGAGUGUUGGGCAAACUGAAGUGGUAAGGGUGAGUGGUAUGGGUAGAGCCUGAACAGCUUGGUCACUGACAUCCCUUUCUAAUUUAAUCAGCUGUGCCUUGAAGGAUGGGAUCCUGUAGUGAUCCCUGUCUAAGGAUGAGGUAGUCAGGGUUCAGUGCGGGCUGCACACCCUAAAGGGUAUAUACAACACAAAUGUGACAGGACCUCAAAGAAGAUAUGGUCAUACUCACAUAUGACUUGAAUGAAAUUUAAGUCACCUAAGCCUAAAGUUAAAGAAAGAGCGCAGGUGGGGCUAUAGCAAUGACACAGCACAUUGAUGGGAUUGUGAGCUGUGAUCUGGUUGGAGAAAUCCUCCGAAGCCAGAGGAAGGAGACCUUGAGAGGUGCUUGUUUGUACUUACUUCAUUAGGUCAUAAACUGUACUGUCUUGGGGCCACUAUCAAGGUAAAUUAUAUUUUUAAUCUCCAAACUUUUAAUACUUUCUUCUGAAGAAGCCGAUUUUAUGCCAUAGCUCACGUUCUUAAUCUUAUAUGGAGGCUUUUAUUAAGUUUGCUUGUGGUUGGUGAUACAUAACUCAAAUGGCUUUUAUUUAUCAUAGAAGUGAUAUAUAUAUAAUGUUAUUAAAAGAUAAGGCCAUAUUUAACCAUUUUAUAGUGUGUGCUUCUAGAUAGAAACUUCUUAGUAAAUACUUUUCUGUGGUCAGUUAUUAAAAGGUGCUGCAAAAUAAUUGUAGCCUCUGGUAUUAAACAUGCAAUUCUUAUUCAUCUAACAAAUAUUUAACAAACACUUACUGAGGGUGAUGCCUUUAAAUGGUAGGUAUAGAACUGCAUAGAAAAAUGUCGCUAUCCUUGUAAACUAGACACUCAUAGUUUCACAAAAGAGAUAAAUUAAAAAAUAAUUGAAAUUCAAGGUUAAAAUUAUAGUAAUGGAGGUGUGUACAAUGGAGAGGCUGCUAACUCAAUGGGGGGAAUAAUUCAAAAGAGGUGUGACCAUCACAUUCCAGUUAGAAGCAGAGAUUAAAGAGUUAUUGUGUCGGAAACGCUUGUUUGCCCAGGGUGUUUUUUCUCUUCUCUAAGGGGAGGAAACCCCCAGGCUAUUGGUAAACAACGUAGCAUUUAGUAAUGAAGCCAGUUGACUAAAUGGUUUAUGGAGAUGAUGUUUCUCUUUUUUUUUUUUUUUUUUUUUUGGGAGUUUGCCCUUUUCUUUGGAUGAAUCUCUAAAAGGGGAGGCAGCCUGGCAAGCCCAUUAGAAGUAGGAGGCUGAAGGUGAAUGUGUAUUAAAACUAGGACAGUGAGUUUGCAUGAUGGUCCAGGAUAGAGUUGAUGAGACAGCCAUUUAUUCAGAGGUGUAUUACCUAGGGUAUGAAGUCAUAGGAGCAGAAAAGUAAAACUUACACUCUACAUACAUGGGCUCUUUUGGCCAUUAUUAAUCUCAGUCCUCUGGGAAGAAAGGAAAUGAUGAGAUGCCCAGGAUUCUAAACUGAGAUGUGUUUUAUAGUAUCUUACAUAGAAAAAAAAAACAAAAAAA
Molecule: long non-coding RNA, 3297 nt
Filed under: Sus scrofa (pig)
Lineage: Eukaryota; Metazoa; Chordata; Mammalia; Artiodactyla; Suidae
Description: lncRNA (ENSSSCG00025032492.1)
Source: RNAcentral